CUGCUCCCGCAGGAAGGGGUGGGAUUAGCUCGGGGCCGUCGCGGAGCCGGACCGCCCUAGCGGGAAGGUUUCCCCAGCUACCAGUGCCGAGCAAAUGACUGUAAAAAGAGUGAUCCAGAAGAGGGCAACAUUCACAGCCAUUCUGAGACCUAGGAUGAACAAAUGCUUUCACACUGACAGAAGAUGCUGCAAUACUUUGAGAGCAGAGGACAACAAAAUAAAAGAAGCUGAAGUUAGAAGACAGAAAAGGCGUAAGCUCUGUGAGAUGGGACGUGCCUCUUGCUUCAUGUCUAUACAAGUGCCAGGUGCACGGCUAGAAGAAGCAAUCUGUGUACAGGAGAAGUGCCAGCACCCUGGCAGCGCUCAGGAGGGUGAGCAGUGGGGUGUGGGGGCCUGAAUAUAUGUUGUAUUGUGAGAUCAGUGUGUGUCUAAGUUACUCCAAACGAGCUGCAGCUGCAGGGUCCUUAGUUGGGCAACAGCUGUGGCUCGUGAGGGUAACAGAUAAAUAGGGGUGGGUCAAGAGCCCAAGAGGAGCCCCUGAGAAGAUAGAAGAAGAGCCUCAGCAGAGA
Molecule: non-coding RNA, 569 nt
Organism: Zonotrichia albicollis (white-throated sparrow)
Lineage: Eukaryota; Metazoa; Chordata; Aves; Passeriformes; Passerellidae
Source: RefSeq, a predicted model, not a curated record